GCAAGUCGAACGGUAACAUUUCUAGCUUGCUAGAAGAUGACGAGUGGCGGACGGGUGAGUAAUGCUUGGGAACUUGCCUUUGCGAGGGGGAUAACAGUUGAAAACGACUGCUAAUACCGCAUAAUGUCUUCGGACCAAACGGGGCUUAGGCUCCGGCGCAAAGAGAGGCCCAAGUGAGAUUAGCUAGUUGGUAAGGUAACGGCUUACCAAGGCGACGAUCUCUAGCUGUUCUGAGAGGAAGAUCAGCCACACUGGGACUGAGACACGGCCCAGACUCCUACGGGAGGCAGCAGUGGGGAAUAUUGCACAAUGGGGGAAACCCUGAUGCAGCCAUGCCGCGUGUGUGAAGAAGGCCUUCGGGUUGUAAAGCACUUUCAGUUGUGAGGAAAAGUUAGUAGUUAAUACCUGCUAGCCGUGACGUCAAUAACAGAAGAAGCACCGGCUAACUCCGUGCCAGCAGCCGCGGUAAUACGGAGGGUGCGAGCGUUAAUCGGAAUUACUGCGCGUAAAGCGCACGCA
RNAcentral lists this ribosomal RNA (519 nucleotides) under uncultured bacterium. RNAcentral describes it as "bacterial SSU rRNA". It matches the Rfam family "Bacterial small subunit ribosomal RNA", at positions 57 to 573 of the family's 1533-position model. The record is from RNAcentral.